Molecule: ribosomal RNA, 815 nt
Filed under: Anisakis simplex sensu lato
Lineage: Eukaryota; Metazoa; Nematoda; Chromadorea; Rhabditida; Anisakidae
Description: SSU rRNA
Rfam family: Eukaryotic small subunit ribosomal RNA
Source: RNAcentral
CACCAAAGCUCCGAUUUUUUGACGAGCGCAUCUAUUAGAUUAAAACCAAUCGGGUUUCGGCCCGUCAAUUGGUGACUCUGAAUAACUAUGGCUGAUCGCAUGGUCUUGAACCGGCGACGUGUCUAUCAAGUGUCUGCCUUAUCAACUGUCGAUGGUAGUUUAUGUGCCUACCAUGGUUGUAACGGGUAACGGAGAAUAAGGGUUCGACUCCGGAGAGGGAGCCUGAGAAACGGCUACCACAUCCAAGGAAGGCAGCAGGCGCGCAAAUUACCCACUCUCGGCAUGAGGAGGUAGUGACGAAAAAUAACGAGACCGUUCUCUCUGAGGCCGGUUAUCGGAAUGGGUACAAUUUAAACCCGUUAACGAGGAUCUAUGAGAGGGCAAGUCUGGUGCCAGCAGCCGCGGUAAUUCCAGCUCUCAAAGUGUAUAUCGUCAUUGCUGCGGUUAAAAAGCUCGUAGUUGGAUCUGCGCCUCAGGACUUGGUCCGCCCACUGGGCGAGAACUGGGCUCCUGGGCUAGUACUGCUGGUUUUCCCUACGUUGCCUUCAUCGGUCGCGUAGGGUGGCUAGCGAGUUUACUUUGAAAAAAUUAGAGUGCUUCACGCGGGCUUAUGUCUGAAUACUCGUGCAUGGAAUAAUAGAAUAGGAUCUCGGUUCUAUUUUGUUGGUUUUCUGAUCUGAGAUAAUGGUUAAGAGGGACGGACGGGGGCAUUCGUAUCGCUGCGUGAGAGGUGAAAUUCUUGGACCGUAGCGAGACGUCCGACUGCGAAAGCAUUUGCCAAGAAUGUCUUCAUUAAUCAAGAACGAAAGUCAGAG